Long non-coding RNA from Eriocheir sinensis (Chinese mitten crab), 417 nucleotides. RefSeq lists it as uncharacterized. The record is from RefSeq and is a predicted model, not a curated record. The transcript has 3 exons. Lineage: Eukaryota; Metazoa; Arthropoda; Malacostraca; Decapoda; Varunidae.
CGUCCUGGCCCUCCCUGGCCAGUCGUCCACCACCACCUUCACCCGGCAGCCGCUGCAGUGGAACAACGGGAGGAUCACAGGCUACGUGAUAUUCCUCACCACGGACCAAACUGUCGGUGACUGGGUGAUGGGGGAAGUGACGGGGGACUGGCUCACCCUCACCGUCCAUGGACUGACGCCUUCAAGGAAGUAUUUGCACAAGAUGCACUCUCACAAUGUCAAAGGUUUUGGUCCAUUCUCCUCCGUGGAAAGCUUCACGACUCUUCCAGCUGUUGACAAGAGCAUCGGUGAGCCCCCUGGCUGGUGUGUGGAGCGAGAGGCCUGAUUGUGCUGGUGAUCGCUGGCGUGGCAGGAGCCAUGACUGGCUGGGGGCCUUCUUGGCCACCACACUGUACUGCCACGGGUCAAGGCGGAGCC